ACUGCUUCUCAGACUUUGGGCUAGGAUCAAGUGUAGUAUCUGUUCUUACUAGUGUGAAACCAGACCUGAGGAGAGGCUUUUCAAAAAUUCUGUAGCCACUUAUAUUUUUCUCAUUAAUUAGCUAAUUAUCAAUUCAUAUCCUUUUUUAAUCUUUUGGGGCAUUCCUUUAGUAAUCAGCAAAACAAAU
Saimiri boliviensis boliviensis (Bolivian squirrel monkey) is the source of this 187-nucleotide small nuclear RNA. RefSeq annotates it as U2 spliceosomal RNA. The record is from RefSeq and is a predicted model, not a curated record. Lineage: Eukaryota; Metazoa; Chordata; Mammalia; Primates; Cebidae.